Molecule: RNA transcript, 3036 nt
Organism: Neocloeon triangulifer
Lineage: Eukaryota; Metazoa; Arthropoda; Insecta; Ephemeroptera; Baetidae
Exons: 12
Source: RefSeq, a predicted model, not a curated record
AACUUUCACCGCAGUCACUGUUAUACAGUGAACAACAUUCUUCUCCAGUUUUCCGAUUUUUUUUCUGUGGAGAAACAUAACGGCCAACUAGCCAACUUUAAAAGUAUAAAAUGCAAAAAAAAAUUGCGCUUCAAAUGGUGCAGGUGCACCAUAUGGUCAUAAUUCAUUCAGCGACAAUAUUUCGGUACUAUGCCAUGUGCUCACCCAAGUACAAUUCAUCGCUGGGGGGACGCUGGAGGUCUUACAUUCAUUGUUCGAAACAAGUUCUGUCAAGUUCGGUCUUGAAAAACUACUCUCCUCCUCUCUGUGCACUCUCUACUCCCUUCCCUUUCCUCUCUUGCUUGCUGCGAAAAAACGAGAGACAACGCCAUCUACGAGCAACAAAGCUCAACUGCGGCACUGCGGCCAACGGCAAACUGAACAACUGAAGAACUGAACAUAAACCCCUCUGGACGGUGACAUGUGACAUUUGCGAAUUUAUUCGCAUUUCGCAUCACACAUCGAAAGCGUCCCCAGAGGCUGCGCUCACCUACGCCGACGUUUUGCGACUCUUAACUCAGUUUAAGGUUUCUGUGCGAAUUUUUAGGCGCGUUGGGUGUGUGGGCAGCCAGAACAUAAACGUUCGCGUCGCUCUCGACUAUUUUGACUUGAUUUUGACAGGAGAGGUCGGUCGACGAUUCUCGACCACGAUCCUUUUGCUGUUGUCGACUAAAAAGUAAAAAAAUGAAAUACGAGGAUUUGCAAACGGCAGAGGCAAAGUCUUCAAUUCUUGGGGUGGUUGUGAGGUCCAUUUACAAGGAUUUGCCAUCCAACUUGAAGGGAGACAAGGCCGCCGUAACGCAGUGGGUUCUGCAGAAGAAACUGAACCAAAAGUCAAAUCUCAUGCUUGAGACAAUUCUACACCCCAACGAGUUGAAGAAUCUUAAACGUGAACUGCAAUGUCUGUUCAAACCUGUCAUGAACAAAAAUAACAGAGAAGUGCUGCCGGGCAUUGCUUUGAAACUUCUUAAGUCUUUCCACACUGCAGAUGACUUUAAGAAAAAAGUGUGUGAUGGAGUAUUCAAACUUUACAAGUCGGAGCACUGUCGUGAGAAUUGGGCGUACCGGUCAAGAAUGGUGGCUCGAGACACGUUCUACGACACCUUCCUUGAUCAGACAAGAAAGAAAGCCAUCAAAGUAGGGGACAAGGGCAACUUUGCUGUGUUUGUGGCGCCCUUGCAAGAAGACUUGUAUAACGCAGAUUGUGUCAGCACACCUCUCUACGUGGUUUCCAAGAACAAAACAAAAAAGCAACGACAAAAACAUCGGAACGCUGCUUCCAGUCAUCGUGGCAUCCCUCGUGCGCCCCCAGACUUAUCAAAGGGCAAUUGUAGCUUGAAUAGCUGGCUGCAUGGCAUUUACAGCUGUGGAAGGCAGAAAGACGGAUUCCGUUGUGCCAUCCGAGAGUUGCUCAGCAGAUGCCCCUUUGGACCGAUUCGAAACCUGUUCGACUACAUUAUAGCCAACCCUCAAUUCUCUCUUGAGGCUGAUCGACUGAGACAGGUUGUGAUCGUUGCAUACGCAAGACGCUGGCGGCAGAAGCGAUACGAGUGGGACAUGCUGGCGCAGCAGGCACUGGAAUUUGCUUUAGAAACCGUCCGGCUGAGGCGUAAGGUGUGCUCGAGCAAUAGCGACCACACAGUUCUGGAUCUGAAAUCGCCUCCGCACGUUACCCCGACUGAGUUGAGAUACCUCACUGAAAUCGCUUCUGCUCCUCUGGAAAAGUGCAAGAAAUGCAAUGGGCAAAUGAAAACCGAGAUUGUCGCAUGCAAUAGUAUGAUUUUGGUGGACUUCUGUCAUUACGACUUGGAAAGCGAUCGAUAUGCGCUUUUAGACGAUUUAGAGGCGGAGGGCCUUCUCGUAGACACCCUGACUUUUGGAAAUGAGUGUUACUACCUCCUUGGCCUGAGCACUGAAGAAAUUGAAGAUACCGACUUUGUGAGAGACCUAGUUGAAUAUGGACCUCCAGCAGAACUUCCUCGCUAUGUCAGAAACCUUGGUUUCGACCCUGCUUUGAGACCUGAAAAUUAUUACUUGUUGAAGAGUAAAUCAGGUGACGACAGCAAACAGUCGACUGAUGAGGAGGAAGUCGAAGAAGAUGAACUCUCUUCGGAGACCCCCAUAGAAAUACGAAUGUUAUAACACUAGAAUAACUUAUACAAUAACAGGGGAGUGAAGACGAGACGAGUGAAGAAGAGGGUUCACAGAGUGAUGUGGACGAUACAAGUAGCCUCAGUGAGAUCAGUGUCGACAAUGUCAGUGACGAAGAUCAAAUCAGCACUAGCGAUUAUGGUGAUGUCGGUGAAGAGAAAAAUAAUGAUGAAGAUAAGAACACAUACGACAGCGACGAACAGGACGACGAUGAUGAUCCUCAGGACAAAGAGCCAGCAGACAAUUUUGAAGAUGAGGAGGAAGAACAGUCGUCCGAUGAUGAUGACGAUCUUGCACGGCCAACAAGCCAUAGCCUCUUCCUAGAAAGGAAUUACACCCGAGGUCGCUGGUUCAGAGUUUGCGACUGGAAAACUACAGAAUUUUCAGAUGAUUUCUUACAAGCUCCAGGUUUCAGCUACCGAGCAAAUUACGCCUGGUACGGCAAACAAGAUGUUGUAAAGAGAGGGGGGACAAGACUUAUAAAGAAAGGUACUUGCGCCAAACUAAAGUGAUGUGUGACCCUGUGUGAGUUCAGUUCUGACUGAAAUCAAAACAAGUUCAGUUCGCAACCUCUUGCCAAAUGAAGUUUUAUGUUUUAACUACGCGUAUCCACACCUUAGUGGGUUUCUUCCAUGUUUUGUCCUAUAGUAAAUUGAAUAACAUGUAAAGUUGCCGCGUCGUUGAGAUAUAUUAAAUUCUGCUGGGAAAUUACCUAAUUUUGAAUUUAGUUGUGGUUUUUUUAUAUGUAUUUCUGUUAUACCAUGGUUCAACAUUAAACGCAUGCGAAUAAGACAAAUUCUUUUAAUAAUUUUUAAAAAAUAGUGCAUUCUUGUAAUAAAAAUAGCC